GCCACGUGCGAGCACUGCUUGCAGGAGCCCUGUAUAGUGCAGCAACGCCGGCUGAAAUUUCCGAAAAAAGCCUCAAGCCCUGGCCAGGGGAACAGUGAGAAGCGGCGGCGCCUCUAUAACCAUGCAUGGCGCGUCCUGAAGAGUAUUGGCUUCUGGCAGCAGCCACAGUACCGGCGCCGCAAAGUCGUAGCUCCGGGGCCCGAACCGCUCGGUCAAAUGGCGCUCCAUUCCCGGAGGGAGGUGAUGCCCGAGUGCAUUGUGAAGCGCAUCCGGGAGCUGCGGCCUAACAAGCCCAAUGAGCCAUAUAUGGGCCACCGCUGGACCUGAGGAGAUCACUUGCUGCGUUGGACCUUGUUUCACCAGAAGAUAAUGCACAAUGAUGACUGCAACACAUCUUGCUUCGCACUGACGGAACACAUUCUAAAUAAAAAUUCUUUUCUUCGUACAUUCCGUAAUACAUUUCUUUUAUUCUGAACCAAUAAAGAUGAAGAAUAUGCUUCAUUUAUUGUUCAUGUAUUCAUUUAUUUCAAAGCAAAUAAAGAUAACAAUCUGCUU
RNAcentral lists this long non-coding RNA (555 nucleotides) under Dermacentor andersoni. RNAcentral describes it as "uncharacterized LOC126519632". Lineage: Eukaryota; Metazoa; Arthropoda; Arachnida; Ixodida; Ixodidae. The record is from RNAcentral.